RNAcentral lists this unclassified non-coding RNA (1361 nucleotides) under Hevea brasiliensis (rubber tree). Lineage: Eukaryota; Viridiplantae; Streptophyta; Magnoliopsida; Malpighiales; Euphorbiaceae. The record is from RNAcentral.
AUCCUAAAGGACUAAUCACUAAUGUAUCAAAAUUUAUUUCCCUGACCUCCUGUCCUAGCGGACUUGUUACUAGCACCUCAAAGUCCAUUUUUGUACAUGGAACAGCAAUGCAAUCAAUGAUGCUAGCACUCACAUAAGAAUGGGUAGAACCCGGAUCAAAUAACACAAACACAUCUUGGUUAAAAGUUGAGAAGGUACCAGCCACAACAUCAGAUGUCUCGGCCUCUUCCCUCUGUCUCAUUGCAUACAUUCUGAUUGGAGCACUGUCUUGCUCUGAUUGUUUCACUGUGCCUUGGCUGCCUGCUGGGUUACCUCUACCCCUGCCUCUACCUCUGCUGGGUGGUUGUGAACUUCUGGUAACAGGGCUCUGAACUGACCCUUCUGCAGUAAUAGGAGGUGGUCCAACUCUGCGACUACUGGUGCAGUCCUUGGCAAAGUGUCCCAUGCCUCCACAGUUAUAACAGGCUCCAAUAGCCUUAUAGCAUAUCCCACCAUGAUAUCUUCCACAAUUUUCACAUUGGCGGGAAUGGUAGGAACCUCCGGUACUAUGCUGACCAGAUAAAGGAGGUUUAUGUCCUGAAUGUCCUCCCCUACCAGACUUCUUGCCACCUCUGUUGUGUCCCUCAUAGUUCUUCCUCUUUCCAGUAGGACCACUGGAACUCUGUUCUACUGACUUUCCCUCUUCAUCUGUCUUCUCUGAUCUCUUUUUCUCAGGAGUAGUCUCAAACUCAACUCUUUCUAACUCUAGGGCUUGAGAAACAAGUUCAGAGAAGUUAGUGUGUUUGAAGCCCAGCACUUGUACUCUGAUACUGGGCUUCAAGCCAGUUACAAACCUCUUGCAUCUUUCCCUGCUGGUAGAGAGUAGACUCACUGCAUAAUGGCUAAGGCGAGAAAAUUCUCUUUCAUACUCAGCCACUGAUCUGCCCCCCUGUUUCAAACUUAGGAAUUCUUGUAACUUCUGGUCUACAUAAGCAUCAGGGACAUAUUUCUGCCUGAAUUCCCUAAGGAAGUCAUUCCAUGUUAGCACUGCAGGCUCUACCAGACUGUGGGGAAUGGUUUUCCACCAGUCAUAAGCAUCCCCCUGUAGUAAGGACACUGAGUAUUCAAAUCUGAGCUCCUCUGUGCAAUGCAGUUUCUUGAAUACCCUAUCCAUCCUCUCUAACCACUGUUCAGCCUCUAGAGGAUCUGCUGUCCCCUUGAACUCUGUAGCCCCAUAUUUCAUCAAUUUAUCAUAUUGCCUCGUAGGAGACUGUGGUUGUACCACUGGUGUCUGUAUUGGGACUUGAGUAGGCACAUUACCAGCCAUUUGUUGGAACAUUGCAGCCAUCUGCUGAGCGAACUGAGCAGGAAACUGCGGUACU